CUUUUUUUGUUGUUUUUGUUGUUUUGCUAGGU
RNAcentral lists this small RNA (32 nucleotides) under Arabidopsis thaliana (thale cress). RNAcentral describes it as "ATSL299020". The record is from RNAcentral. Lineage: Eukaryota; Viridiplantae; Streptophyta; Magnoliopsida; Brassicales; Brassicaceae.